RNAcentral lists this unclassified non-coding RNA (394 nucleotides) under fungal sp. RNAcentral describes it as "partial internal transcribed spacer region". The stretch from base 1 to 46 matches the Rfam family "Eukaryotic small subunit ribosomal RNA", at positions 1786 to 1831 of the family's 1831-position model. Lineage: Eukaryota; Fungi. The record is from RNAcentral.
AAGUCGUAACAAGGUUUCCGUAGGUGAACCUGCGGAAGGAUCAUUAUCCUAUAGCGUAGAGCUCUUCUUGAGCACUACAUGCGUUACACACUCAUGUGUUGCGUUACAAUGCAUAGUGAGCGGGCCUCGUCCCGCUCGCUUCAAAUCCGUGCUCGCUUGAGUCCGGUCGGGUACCUAUGUGUGCGCAUCUCGCGCAUACACAAGCGGCAGAUGCUCGUCUGCCGUGUGGUGUAAAGAUUAUAACUCGCUCGAGUAAUAACGCCCGCUCAGCACAAUAUAUUUCUACGACAAAUUUAUAUCGCAUUUAACUAUGUUGUAUGUGUAAGCACUGUCUCACUUACUUCGAGCGAGAUAUUAACACAAAUACAACCCUAUGCGGUGGAUCAUUUGGCUC